ACAGGGAGACAGGUGGUGCAUGGUUGUCGUCAGCUCGUGUCGUGAGAUGUUGGUUAAGUCCCGCAACGAGCGCAACCCCUACGUUUAGUUGCUAACGCGUGAAGGCGAGCACUCUAGACGAACUGCCGUUGACAAAACGGAGGAAGGUGGGAUGACGUCAAAUCAUCAUGCCCCUUAUGUUCUGGGCUACACACGUGCUACAAUGGCCGGUACAGACGGACGCAAAGCCGCGAGGUGGAGCAAAUCCUAAAAAGCCGGUCUCAGUUCGGAUUGCAGGCUGCAAUUCGCCUGCAUGAAGUCGGAAUCGCUAGUAAUCGCAGGUCAGCAUACUGCGGUGAAUACGUUCCCGGGCCUU
Molecule: ribosomal RNA, 355 nt
Filed under: uncultured Bacillus sp.
Lineage: Bacteria; Bacillati; Bacillota; Bacilli; Caryophanales; Bacillaceae
Description: bacterial SSU rRNA
Rfam family: Bacterial small subunit ribosomal RNA
Source: RNAcentral